This 58-nucleotide small nuclear RNA is filed under the name Cervus elaphus hippelaphus. Lineage: Eukaryota; Metazoa; Chordata; Mammalia; Artiodactyla; Cervidae. The record is from RNAcentral.
AAGAUUAGCAUGGCCCCUGCGCAAGGAUGACACGCAAAUGCAUGAAGCGUUCCACAUU